UUCUAAGAAAAGGAUGACGUUCCUAAUAAUUUGUUUAUUUUUGUUUUUUGAGUGUAGAUAGACAGAGUUUUCCGCAAUGGGAGCCAAGAGCAGCAAAGGAGAGCCUUGCCUGCCCUACCUGCUGACUAGACCGGUGAGGGUAAUGGCAGAUAAGUGGGGCAGGGACAUUCUGGAACAGGCACAAGGCAGCAGACUCCCCUUGAACGGCACAAUAAGUGAAGCCGUAUUAGCAGAAUGUAGAAAGAAGUUGCAGGACUUUGAGACAACCAAGAAAGGCAAAGCAAGUAGGAUAGAUUGGGAUGAUUUUAGGAAAUGGGAAAGAGAAGCAGAACACAGGGCUGAUAGGAAAGUUGAAGGCAUCAUGGUAAAAGAAAGUAAGAAAGAAAGAAGGACUGAUGGGGGAAAAAAAGAGAAAUAGGAAUGACAAUGAUUUUUCCACCCUCGAUAUUACACCCCUCCGUGUCUCCUACACCUCCCCAGCCAGUGCCUCCCCUUCCAGCCCCGGCCCCAGCUCCAACGGUCCCACCGCCUAUCUAUCCUGACCUGAACCUGAUUGACUUGGUGGGAGGGGCCAGUUCCCUAACAAACCCUCGCGACCCAUGAGGAAUCAGAAUCCGUUUUACACACCACCCACAUUGACUCCCGUGUCUGGUGUUGAUGGCCUCUGGGCACUCAGUCCACCAUCAAUGUCAACCCCUAGAGGUCUGAAUUGCUCUCCAUCCCCCUCAACCGUAACAACAAGAACAGGCCCAAAAGGGGACCCCAACAAGACAUCUCUUGCCCAGGCACCCCUGGGUACGUUCCCAAAUCCACAACCUCAAACGGCUCCGAAUGAUCCUGGCCAUGUUGAUUGGCACCCAGAGGCCCGUAUCCAGAGUACCUGGAGACAAGACGAGAUGAAGGAGCUUGCCAAGGACCUCCCUGACCCCACCAAGGAUGCAGGUGAUUUCACCACACCUGCUUAACUGGUCAGGCUGUACAAACCAUCUGUAGCCGAAGUCGCCCACAUUUGCAGCAUCAAGAUGAGGUUGCGAUGGGCAGACGUGGAAGGCUAUCAGACUCAACUGACUUCUCUGUGUGAUCAUAUUAAAGAACUUCACCCACCUAUGACUGAUUGGGCAGCUGUCCAUAGCUGCACACAAAAGGCCAAAAAGUAAGGAAGGAAGAUUACAGGCACAGACUUGAGAACUGUUUCCGUAAACACAGUGACAUCAGACCAGGCACUGAUGACUACAACAUCCUCCUGAAGGACUACUACUGAAUGGACUACUAUCGGGC
Molecule: long non-coding RNA, 1278 nt
Organism: Oncorhynchus tshawytscha (Chinook salmon)
Lineage: Eukaryota; Metazoa; Chordata; Actinopteri; Salmoniformes; Salmonidae
Source: Ensembl